Molecule: long non-coding RNA, 1278 nt
Filed under: Anas platyrhynchos platyrhynchos (common mallard)
Lineage: Eukaryota; Metazoa; Chordata; Aves; Anseriformes; Anatidae
Description: lncRNA (ENSAPLG00000021190.1)
Source: RNAcentral
CAAAAUACCCUUUCUUAAGCAAUAUUUCUUCUAGCACAAAAAAAAAAAAAAGGUAUAGGAAAAACAGAAAAUAAUAAAAAGUUAGUUUAGUUUUGAAUGAAUCCAAGUGAACAUAGUGAACAUAAUGACAUAUCAUGCCAGUCACUGUUUAGGCAAAGAUUUCUCUCAAGGUUACAUAACUGCCGUCUGUAACUAGGAAACCAUCAUCUGGCUUGGUCUUCUGCGGUUUCCCAGUCAGCCUGUCAGAUCCUUGCCACAGCCUCACUUACAGCACCAAUAUUAUUUUGAAACAUUUAGUGGUUCAAAGGGUAGUUCAUAGGUACAAGAAAAAAUGUUCAAACUGUAGAAAUACUCUAAGUGAGAUGACAAUGUACUAUUUAUUGUUUAGCAAGCAAACAGUGGAAGGAACAAAUAAGUACCAGAACAGAUAGCUGUAAACAGAACACUUUAAAGCAGUCUAACAAUGUUUUAUAUUAAAUCAUCCAUUAACUUUCAUCCAGACGAGAUGAUGCUCUGUAUCGGAGGACUGCAUGAAAUGAUACAUUGGAAGACUCAGGAUCACUCAGCCUACAGUCAAAAGUCUUCCUCCAAAAGCAAGCUGUAGCAGAAACCAUGGACUGAAAAAUCUUCCAAGGAAUGUGAUCAUCUGGCCAAAGGAAACACACUUUCAACCCGUUUUGUACUCAUUUGACCUGAAUACACUUUCAAACUGUAUACGAUAUCACUGAAACAUACCACCCUGAUCCAGUUAUUUGUUGAUGCUACAUUGCAAAUACAUUAGUCGCUUACUGUGACUAUUCAUAGAAAAGUGACUUUGUCUAACGAUGAAAAUAUUUUCCAGCUAUUGAAUACAUUUUAAUUUUGUUACAAAAGUGGAAAUUCUCUUCCAGCAACUUUAUUCUACGAGAAGAGACAUAUGCUUUUAAAAAUUAAUAUGAAAUAUGUGCAAAAAUCACCAGUUAUAUGUAAGAAUUGAAAUACAUUAUAGCUCAAUAAUGAUUUCUUCUCCUUGCAAAAAUGUGAAGGAAAUGUUCUCUGUCUCUCAAAUGUCUCCUUCAUGCACAAAUAUACAGAUAUAUUAGAAUACAUUCACAUACAAAAGAUUCUGAGAUAGAAAAAAAAUUGAAAUAAUAUUUUCAGUUUAGAAUGUGAUCUUUUAAGAGGAAUUUCUCAUUGUAAUGUAAUUCUGUAUAAUUGUAAUUUAAUUCUCAUUGUAAUAUAAUUCUACACUUCUAUAUUCUAUGUUGAUGCAGAAUAAAAAGAAAUAUUAUAGAUGCA